Molecule: long non-coding RNA, 1648 nt
Organism: Lathyrus oleraceus (garden pea)
Lineage: Eukaryota; Viridiplantae; Streptophyta; Magnoliopsida; Fabales; Fabaceae
Exons: 3
Source: RefSeq, a predicted model, not a curated record
UUAAAACCUAAAAUAAAAUGCACCAGACAUCUCUGAACUCAUGUCAAAGCUUCAGGUCACCACCACCAUGGGCCACCGCGCAUGAAAUCGCCUAUGUGGCGAUGGCCACCAGAAAUAAGAAUCGAACAUACCAACCAAACCGUCUCAACCUCCUCAUCUAAAAUCCGCAACCAAACUUCCUUGAUUCUAACCCUAUCUCAAUAAUCGCAGUGAAGAGUUUAAGAACCCUAAAAAUCAAACCCUAAAUGCAUAGAUUCAAAUCCCCUCGGAUUCGGGCUUUGAAUCUCCUCCCUAAUCCUCACAUGUCAGGAACUGGAAUUUGAAGAAAAGAAGACCUUGAAGGUUACCUUGUCAGAGAUCUCGAAGGUGAAGAUGAUGAACUCAGAUGGAUUUCUACUUCCAAGUGAUGAUUCUGACUUUCCUUCUUUGUUCUUUAAUUUGGAAUCUUUCUUCUCCUUCUUCUUUUCUUGUGGGCGAUUGUUGAAUUCGAAUGUUGAAAAUUAUGGUUCUGAUGAUGACGGUUAGGAUGUUGAUCAAGACGAGAUUUUGUUGAGUGCUGCAGGUGAGUGGUGAAGAUGAUGCAAAUGGUUGAAGAUUGAUGACGAUUGAAGGUGAAUGUUGAUAAUUUUCUAGAGUCAAGGUAAAUCUAAUUUGGGAGGAUUGAUAAGAUGAUUGGAGGUUUUUUAUGAUCAAUGAAUAGGGAGCCAAUAAUUGGAUAUUGAGGAAUAUUUAUGGGUGGUUUUGAUGCAUAGGGAUUGUGAAAAUUAUGUUAGAAUUCCGUUGGUAUUUGUGGAAUCGAUGCAUGGUUGUUAUAACUAACUUUUGGUCCUUGUCGAUCCCCAUGCAGUCCGGCUGGCAUUAUUUAAUUAGUGAAGUUAGUAUUGAGUAGGUUAAGUUAGUUUAAGGAUUAUGUUAGGUUAAGAUAGUUAGUUAGUUGAUUUGAUAUUGUGAUGCUAAAGGUUAUGUUAGUUAGUUUAUGAUGCUACUGAUGCAUUGGAAUUGUAGCUUGGAUAUGUUGUUUUUGCAAGUCUGAUAUGUUAUGCCCAGAUUGCAGGUUUGAUGCAGGGUUUUGGCUUAAUUUUAUUGUGAUGCAAGUCUUGGUAAUUGCUUGGUCUAUGUUGCCAUGGUGAUGGCACUUUUGAUGGUUUGUUCGAUGCAAGUGUGCAGGGUGCUAAGUGUCAUGGCAAGAUGCAAGUGUGCAGGGUGCUAAGUGUCAUGGCAAGUUAGAGGGAUGGUACUUGAUAGAUCUGGCCUUGCAGCAGGUCUAUGAUGCAAGUUUGGCUCAUGACAUGUUUGGUAUUGCAACAGGUUUUGGUGCUUGAUGAUGAUGAAUUGCAUAUGUAUGUUAUGGUUCCAUGGAGGCUUAUGGCAUGAUGGUUGAACAACCAAGGUUACAUGACACUCAAUUUUGGAUUAUGAAGCAUGAUAUGAAAGAGGAAAUCCAAUGAAUCAUGAUGGAACUUGAAGAUUAGGGUUAGGAUCGGGAUUUGGGAUUUGGGAUUUUUGGAAUUGGGUUGACUUUGGUCAAAGUUAACCAAAUGUAAACUGUUGACCAAAGUCAACAUUUGGUCAACACUUCAUUUUUUGUAUUUUAUUCAUGUAUGGACAUUUUUAUGAUUAAUGUAAUGGAAUUUGAUAUUUGAAUGAA